GAUGAACGCUGGCGGCGUGCCUAAUACAUGCAAGUCGAGCGAACAGACGAGGAGCUUGCCCCUCUGACGUUAGCGGCGGACGGGUGAGUAACACGUGGAUAACCUACCUAUAAGACUGGGAUAACUUCGGGAAACCGGAGCUAAUACCGGAUAAUAUAUUGAACCGCAUGGUUCAAUAGUGAAAGACGGUUUUGCUGUCACUUAUAGAUGGAUCCGCGCCGCAUUAGCUAGUUGGUAAGGUAACGGCUUACCAAGGCAACGAUGCGUAGCCGACCUGAGAGAGUGAUCGGCCACACUGGAACUGAGACACGGUCCAGACUCCUACGGGAGGCAGCAGUAGGGAAUCUUCCGCAAUGGGCGAAAGCCUGACGGAGCAACGCCGCGUGAGUGAUGAAGGUCUUCGGAUCGUAAAACUCUGUUAUUAGGGAAGAACAAAUGUGUAAGUAACUAUGCACGUCUUGACGGUACCUAAUCAGAAAGCCACGGCUAACUACGUG
Molecule: ribosomal RNA, 497 nt
Filed under: uncultured bacterium
Lineage: Bacteria
Description: partial 16S ribosomal RNA
Rfam family: Bacterial small subunit ribosomal RNA
Source: RNAcentral